CUCUUCACCUUCUCCCUCUAUCCAUCAAGAAACCACAACUCAUCUUCAACAACAAAACACACAUAUACAAUCCCACUACCCAAAACUCAACCACUUCCCCACCUCAUUGCCACCCCCAAAGACUUCAUAUACAAAAAGAAAAACCACCAUCAAAACAAAACCAAAAACUUCCCAAUGAGAGGAAUCAAAACCACCCAAACCCAUAAAUCUACAAACAAUUCACAACCUUCCCCUCUCAAUACAAUCCAAUACACAUUGAAACUUGAACCCCCUCUUAAAUUUCAAGAAUAAAAAUAAGAUCUUGAAAAUUUCCCAUCAGCAAGUAAGCUUAAAUUGUAUAAAAACAAAAACCCACAAAGCAAAAGGUGUAAAGAUAAACUCUAAGUUGCAAUUUCAUGUUAAUAGCUCAAGUUAAGAAAAAAAGACAGUUUUUUUAAUUGAAUCACCUAUAUUUGGGUGUUGUUGAACUUCUGCUCUGUUAAACUUAGUGGAAGAAGAGGAAAAAACACACAGAAAGAGCAAAUCAGCAAAUGCUUCCAGCUAAUCAACUGUCAAAACACUCAAUACAGCCUCUCUAAUUUUUUGUAUGAAUCAUUACAUACACCUGUAUAUAUAUAUAUAUAUAUCUGGCUGGCUGUAUAGACAGAGAAUCUUUGAUAAACUAAGG
Molecule: long non-coding RNA, 667 nt
Filed under: Solanum tuberosum (potato)
Lineage: Eukaryota; Viridiplantae; Streptophyta; Magnoliopsida; Solanales; Solanaceae
Description: long non-coding RNA (STUB_LNC010513)
Source: RNAcentral